AUAUAUCAAGAUUAACCGUAUAGUUUAAUGGCCUUUAUAUGAAAAUUUUUAUGUUCUUAAACUAAACUGGAAAUAUUUGAGAGCUGGGAUAUUUUUGAUACACUAGCACGGAUCACCGUUGUGGGUCACGUAAAAAAUAAAUGGGCAUGGUGGUGUGUCCUUUUCUUAGAAGGUGAACAAAUCAGUUUCAGACCACAUAAUUCAGCUUUACAAAUAAGUACAAUGGAAUUAUGGAACCUUGGAAAAAGUGGUCACUCGUGUGUGGUGACCAUCGAUCUUGUACAAAAUGAAAAUGCAGGUACAUGUUUUUUUUUGGAAGGAAAAAUGCAGGUACAUUUCCAAACCUAUUUUCGAUACUGUAUAUUUUUGGGGGUAAAAACUGUAGUAUUUCCUAUUUCAUGUAACGUUAAGUUUAAGAAAGGAAAAAGGCUGCAUCUAACUGUCUAGCAUAAUACCAUAUUCAUAUACGCAUAAAUAAUGCUAAUUUUUAUUGACAACUAACUUACUUACUCA
This 513-nucleotide long non-coding RNA is filed under the name Medicago truncatula (barrel medic). RNAcentral describes it as "long non-coding RNA (MTRU_LNC005824)". The record is from RNAcentral. Lineage: Eukaryota; Viridiplantae; Streptophyta; Magnoliopsida; Fabales; Fabaceae.